ACGCGAAGAACCUUACCCGGGCUUGAACUGAGGGGGAAUGAAUCAGAGAUGAUUCAGUCUUCGGACUCCCUUGGAGGUGCUGCAUGGUUGUCGUCAGCUCGUGCCGUGAGGUGUCGGCUUAAGUGCCAUAACGAGCGCAACCCUCAUCCUCGUUUGCCAUCAGGGUAAUGCUGGGCACUCCGGGGAUACUGCCAUCGUAAGAUGUGAGGAAGGUGGGGAUGACGUCAAAUCAGCACGGCCCUUACGUCCG
This 250-nucleotide ribosomal RNA is filed under the name uncultured bacterium. Its description in RNAcentral is "partial 16S ribosomal RNA". It matches the Rfam family "Bacterial small subunit ribosomal RNA", at positions 959 to 1210 of the family's 1533-position model. The record is from RNAcentral.